This 323-nucleotide ribosomal RNA is filed under the name uncultured eukaryote. RNAcentral describes it as "partial 18S ribosomal RNA". It matches the Rfam family "Eukaryotic small subunit ribosomal RNA", at positions 1470 to 1796 of the family's 1831-position model. The record is from RNAcentral.
CCCUUAGAUGUUCUGGGCCGCACGCGCGCUACACUGAUGCAUGCAACGAGUUCUAUCCUUGGCCGGAAGGCCUGGGUAAUCUGUGAACGUGCAUCGUGAUAGGGAUAGAUUAUUGCAAUUAUUAAUCUUGAACGAGGAAUUCCUAGUAAACGCAAGUCAUCAGCUUGCAUUGAUUACGUCCCUGCCCUUUGUACACACCGCCCGUCGCACCUACCGAUCGAAGGUAAUGAUGAGCCCUCAGGAUUGUGGCCUCGUCGCGUCAGCGUCUUGGCUGCGAGAAUCUGUGCAAAUCCCUACAUUUAGAGGAAGGUGAAGUCGUAACA